Coffea arabica (coffee) is the source of this 500-nucleotide long non-coding RNA. RefSeq lists it as uncharacterized. The record is from RefSeq and is a predicted model, not a curated record. NCBI's taxonomy places the organism in Eukaryota, Viridiplantae, Streptophyta, Magnoliopsida, Gentianales, Rubiaceae.
CCAGCCACACACGCAUGCGAAAGUUGCUCUCAGAAAAUCUCUCUCUCUCUCUCUCUCUCUUUCCCACACACGCACACACUGAAGAGGAAACGAAGAUGACAAGGGGAAAACAAAAGAUUGAAGCACAGAAAAGGAAAGCAGAGAGGAAUCAGAAGCCAAAAGGGUCUCAGCUCGAGGCCCGUGCUGUUGCCCUCAAAGUCGUCUGCCCCAUCUGUAAAGUGCAGCUAGCAAAUGAAAAUCAGCUUAAUGAUCAUUAUGGCUCUAAGCAUCCAAAAGAAAAACCUCCAAGCAACUCAGGAUAGCAGUCCACUUUUUGGAAAUGAUGCCUUCUGGUUUUUGUCAAAGUUUAAGCAUGUAACUUUGUUCUGUUACCCGAAUCAUGUUAAUAAAGUGAAUGCAUUUUGGUCUGUAAGAUAGAACUGUUGAUCUUGUGUACGCUAGAAUCUGGAAACAAAUCCAACCCCUCUUUAUCCUUGUUAUGCCCCCUUCCUCCCCUUUUC